CCCUUAGAUGUUCUGGGCCGCACGCGCGCUACAAUGAUGAAUCCAACGAGUUUAUAACCUUGGUUGAAAAGCCUGGGUAAUCUUUUGAACUUUCGUCGUGAUGGGGCUAGACCCUUGCAAUUAUUGGUCUCCAACGAGGAAUUCCUAGUAAACGCAAGUCAUCAGCUUGCAUUGAUUACGUCCCUGCCCUUUGUACACACCGCCCGUCGCACCUACCGAUUGAAUGGUCCGGUGAAAUCUUCGGAUUGAGACUUUGAUUUCUUCACGGAAAACGCUGUUUUAAAAAGUUGAUUAAACCUUACCAUUUAGAGGAAGGUGAAGUCGUAACA
This 329-nucleotide ribosomal RNA is filed under the name uncultured eukaryote. RNAcentral describes it as "partial 18S ribosomal RNA". It matches the Rfam family "Eukaryotic small subunit ribosomal RNA", at positions 1470 to 1796 of the family's 1831-position model. The record is from RNAcentral.